Non-coding RNA from Oryza nivara, 206 nucleotides. Lineage: Eukaryota; Viridiplantae; Streptophyta; Magnoliopsida; Poales; Poaceae. The record is from Rfam.
AAAAAGAUAAACCCUAUAUUUUCAUGUCCAACAUUUGACUGUUCGUCUUAUAUGAAAUUUUUUUAUAAUUAGUAUUUUUAUUGUUGUUAGAUGAUAAAACAUGAUUAAUACUUUAUGCAUGACUUGUCUUUUAAAAUUUUUAUAACUUUUUUAAAUAAGACAUGACGGUCAAAUGUUGAACACGGAAACCCAAGGUUUAUCUUUUU